GUUUGGAAAUAAGGUGGUGGCCAAUGUGGCCUGUGACAUCUUUCAGCUACUGAUUUCUCACUGGCAGCACUUACAGAGACUGGAUCCGUCCCUUCCCCAAAGAAUUAUAGAGAUUUUUGUAGCAACCAUAGCCUUUCUUCUGCCCAGUGCUGAACACUCAACAGUUGAGGCAGAUAAAAAGUUAAUGGUGUCUCUACUGCUGUGCCUGCUGGACUGGUGCAUGGCCGUACCUCUCUCCAUCCUGCUGGAGCCCAUCACUAUGCCUGUGCUGGAUGACCCCGCAUCGCAGAAAGCCCCUCUACUCGACUACAUUUAC
This is a long non-coding RNA of Sinocyclocheilus grahami, 316 nucleotides long. RefSeq lists it as uncharacterized. The record is from RefSeq and is a predicted model, not a curated record. NCBI's taxonomy places the organism in Eukaryota, Metazoa, Chordata, Actinopteri, Cypriniformes, Cyprinidae. The transcript is spliced from 3 exons.